CAAUGGACGAAAGUCUGAUGGAGCCAUGCCGCGUGCAGGAUGAAUGCCCUAUGGGUUGUAAACUGCUUUUAUAUAGGAAGAACAUUUUCUACGUGUAGAGAACUGACGGUACUAUAAGAAUAAGGACCGGCUAACUCCGUGCCAGCAGCCGCGGUAAUACGGAGGGUCCAAGCGUUAUCCGGAUUUAUUGGGUUUAAAGGGUCCGUAGGCGGGAGAAUAAGUCAGUGGUGAAAGCCUACAGCUUAACUGCAGAACCGCCAUUGAAACUGUUUUUCUUGAAUUUAGAUGAAGUGGGCGGAAUAUAUCAUGUAGCGGUGAAAUGCAUAGAUAUGAUAUAGAACACCGAUUGCGAAGGCAGCUCACUAAACUAAUAUUGACGCUGAGGGACGAAAGCGUGGGGAGCGAACAGGAUUAGAUACCCUGGUAGUCCACGCCGUAAACGAUGAUUACUCGGUGCUAGCGAUAUACUGUUAGUGCCUAAGCGAAAGCGAUAAGUAAUCCACCUGGGGAGUACGGUCGCAAGAUUGAAACUCAAAGGAAUUGACGGGGGCCCGCACAAGCGGUGGAGCAUGUGGUUUAAUUCGAUGAUACGCGAGGAACCUUACCUGGGCUUAAAUGUAUUUUGACAGGCUGAGAAAUCAGUUUUUCUUCGGACAAUUUACAAGGUGCUGCAUGGUUGUCGUCAGCUCGUGCUGUGAGGUGUCGGGUUAAGUCCCAUAACGAGCGCAACCCCUAUCCUUAGUUGCCAGCGAGUAAUGUCGGGGACUCUAGGGAAACUGCCGGUGCAAACCGUGAGGAAGGUGGGGAUGACGUCAAAUCAUCACGGCCCUUACGUCCAGGGCUACACACGUGCUACAAUGGCAUAUACAAAGGGCAGCUACAUGGUGACAUGGUGCUAAUCUCUAAAGUAUGUCUCAGUUCGGAUCGAAGUCUGCAACUCGACUUCGUGAAGCUGGAAUCGCUAGUAAUCGCGUAUCAGCAAUGACGCGGUGAAUACGUUCCCGGGCCUUGUACACACCGCCCGUCAAGCCAUGGAAGUUGGGAGUGCCUGAAGUCGGUGACCGCAAGGAGCUGCCUAAGGUAAAACUAGUAACUAGGGCUAAGUCGUAACAAGGUAGCCGUACCGGAAGGUGCGGCUGGAACACCUCCUUUUU
This 1154-nucleotide ribosomal RNA is filed under the name uncultured Cryomorphaceae bacterium. RNAcentral's name for it is "bacterial SSU rRNA". It matches the Rfam family "Bacterial small subunit ribosomal RNA", at positions 369 to 1533 of the family's 1533-position model. Lineage: Bacteria; Pseudomonadati; Bacteroidota; Flavobacteriia; Flavobacteriales; Cryomorphaceae. The record is from RNAcentral.